AUUGAACGCUGGCGGCAUGCCUUACACAUGCAAGUCGAACGGCAGCACGGGAGCAAUCCUGGUGGCGAGUGGCGAACGGGUGAGUAAAGUAUCGGAACGUACCUUUCAGUGGGGGAUAACGUAGCGAAAGUUACGCUAAUACCGCAUAUUCUGUGAGCAGGAAAGCAGGGGAUCGCAAGACCUUGCGCUGAUUGAGCGGCCGAUAUCAGAUUAGCUAGUUGGUGGGGUAAAGGCCUACCAAGGCGACGAUCUGUAGCGGGUCUGAGAGGAUGAUCCGCCACACUGGAACUGAGACACGGUCCAGACUCCUACGGGAGGCAGCAGUGGGGAAUUUUGGACAAUGGGGGGCAACCCUGAUCCAGCCAUGCCGCGUGAGUGAAGAAGGCCUGGUGUAAG
RNAcentral lists this ribosomal RNA (396 nucleotides) under uncultured bacterium. Its description in RNAcentral is "bacterial SSU rRNA". It matches the Rfam family "Bacterial small subunit ribosomal RNA", at positions 30 to 429 of the family's 1533-position model. The record is from RNAcentral.